RNAcentral lists this transfer RNA (64 nucleotides) under Kuphus polythalamius. Its description in RNAcentral is "tRNA-Val". The record is from RNAcentral. Lineage: Eukaryota; Metazoa; Mollusca; Bivalvia; Myida; Teredinidae.
GAGGUGGUAGCAUAAAUAGUGCGUUUUGCUUACAACAAAAAGGUGGCCGAUAGGCCUCUCCUUU